AUGUGGGGGGCCCCAGACUGUGAUGGGCUCACAGUUGUAGUUGGGCAACAGAGGUCUGAGAGCAGUCCCGGGGAAAACAGGGACAAGAGAUUUGGGAGCUGCUGUGGUUCUUGUCCCAGCAUUGGAGACCAAGGCGAGCGGGUUGGAGCUGGCAGGGAACACCGAGGGCUGGCAGUCCCGGGGGGCUUUGUCCUGGGGGGUGAGGAUGGGCCCUGUGGCUGCCCCAUCUGUGGGGGGCACUCCCUGCUGGGGGCACACGGUGGCACCCUGAGACAUCUGUGCCAGUGCGAGGCGAGCACGCGGGGCCUUGCGGGGAUAACGGGGCAGCUGGGGCAGGGUGAGUUGGGCUUCUUGGGCACCUGGGCUAGUACAGGGUUGCACCCACGGGGUCCCUGCUGCCCUGAGGCACCAUACGGCUCCUCCUGCCUGCAGGUAUCGGCCCCACCAUGCCAAAAAACCCCGUCCCACCCCUUCCUUCUGCUCUCUCUGCAGACACGCUUCGCUGCGGAUGGCACCGGGCUCUCUGGGACGAGCACGGAGGGGCUGUCACCAGAGGCGGAGGAGCUGGAGAGGGCGCAGCAGCGGGGCGAGGGGACGGAGUGGCGGCUGGAGGUGCACGAGCAGCUGCUGGCCCUGCGGCACUGGCUGGACGCCGUGGAGAAGAGGCUGCCGGAGCCGGGCCCUGCGCUGCAGGUAUCGGGCUGGCCCCGGGCGAACGGCGGCCGGCAGAGCCAGGCAGGACCCAGCCCACGGUUCACAGAGGCUGGUGAGGUCUCGGUCCCCAAACGGGACAGCGCCUGGCUGCGGCUGGUGGCAACGACACGGCCCUGCCAACCUCCCCCUGGCACCGAGGGAGCAGGCAGGGGGCUGUGUCCCCACGGCGCUCACCCAGACCUGCCCAUGGCACGGCUGCGCCUCCGUACCCCACCGCCACCUCCUUUGGCUGCGGAGGGCUUGGAGCCUCGAGCCCCCACUGGCAGCCAGUCCCUGCCACCCCCUGCCCCUGGCUCAGCCCCGUCCUGCGUCCCCUGCAUCCAGCCAGGGCCGUGCAGCUGCGCAGGGAGGGCUGCACGCGCUGCCCAGCCGUGUCCCCGCCGUGUGCCCAUCUGCUCGCAGGGCCCUGCCAGCAGGGUGUGAGGCGUCCCCCUGGUGCGGGGCAGCAGCGGGAGCACCCGGCCGGUGGGGGCUGCCCUGGCCAACCCCUCCUCGCGGCCCUGUGAGCAGCCCCUCGCUGGCUCCUUUUGUUCUGGGGCUGGCCAGCACACGGGCUCCCCGCGCACACAUGACAGCACAAACUGAAAGGGCCAUUCAUCGCGGCCCUGGCGCAGACAAAGCCGAGGCCGAGGAGAAACCCACCCAGCUCCCGGGAUCUGAGGCUGUGGAUUCCAGCCGCCCGCUCCCGCCGCUGCCCCGCGCUGGGCUCGCUCUGCCCGGGGCACCCGCGCCACCCCCAGCCCGUACCUGAGGCCGGGGAGCGUGCCAAGGGAGCUCCUGGCAGGCGCGGGUCGGGCACAGCGAGCGGCUCCGGGAGGGAGCCGGGGCUGCUGCCCCCACCUCGGGGGGCCCUGGCCGGGCGCUCGGGGCACGGGAGCCUCAGCAGCGUGGGGGCUGUGCCGGGGGUGUCCAGGCUCCUGCUCGCCCUCCGUGGGGCUGCGUGGUGGGGGGCGAGAGCCGUGCUGCAGGAGCAGAUGGAGCUGGGUUUGGGGGAGCAAUAGAGGGGUGCAGACCCCCC
This 1732-nucleotide long non-coding RNA is filed under the name Anas platyrhynchos platyrhynchos (common mallard). RNAcentral describes it as "lncRNA (ENSAPLG00000027788.1)". The record is from RNAcentral. Lineage: Eukaryota; Metazoa; Chordata; Aves; Anseriformes; Anatidae.